AUACGUAGGUGGCAAGCGUUGUCCGGAUUUACUGGGUGUAAAGGGCGCGUAGGCGGGAUGGCAAGUCAGAUGUGAAAUCUCCGGGCUCAACCCGGAAACUGCAUUUGAAACUGUCGUUCUUGAGUAUCGGAGAGGCAAGCGGAAUUCCUAGUGUAGCGGUGAAAUGCGUAGAUAUUAGGAGGAACACCAGUGGCGAAGGCGGCUUGCGGGACGAAAACUGACGCUGAGGCGCGAAAGGGUGGGGAGCAAACAGGAUUAGUUACCCUGGUAGUCCACGCCGUAAACGAUGAACACUAGGUGUGGGGGGACUGACCCCCUCCGUGCCGCAGGUAACACAAUAAGUAUUCCACCUGGGGAGUACGGCCGCAAGGUUGAAACUCAAAUGAAUUGGCGGGG
Molecule: ribosomal RNA, 396 nt
Filed under: uncultured bacterium
Lineage: Bacteria
Description: partial 16S ribosomal RNA
Rfam family: Bacterial small subunit ribosomal RNA
Source: RNAcentral